CCCCUAGAUGUUCUGGGCCGCACGCGCGCUACACUGAACAGUUCAACAAGUCUUAACCUUGGCCGAUAGGUCUGGGUAAUCUUUGAACGCUGUUCGUGAUUGGGAUAGACCUUUGCAAUUAUGGGUCUUCAACGAGGAAUUCCUAGUAAACGCAAGUCAUCAGCUUGCAUUGAUUACGUCCCUGCCCUUUGUACACACCGCCCGUCGCACCUACCGAUUGAAUGGUCCGGUGAAAUCUCGGGACGGCGGCUUGGUCGCUUGCGUCCGACUGCUGAAACUUGAUUAAACCAUAUCAUUUAGAGGAAGGUGAGNUCGUAACA
This 320-nucleotide ribosomal RNA is filed under the name uncultured eukaryote. Its description in RNAcentral is "partial 18S ribosomal RNA". It matches the Rfam family "Eukaryotic small subunit ribosomal RNA", at positions 1470 to 1796 of the family's 1831-position model. The record is from RNAcentral.